RNAcentral lists this long non-coding RNA (206 nucleotides) under Mytilus galloprovincialis (Mediterranean mussel). The record is from RNAcentral. Lineage: Eukaryota; Metazoa; Mollusca; Bivalvia; Mytilida; Mytilidae.
CGUCCGUCGUCGUUAACUUUUACAAAAAUCUUCUCCUCUGAAACUACUGGGCCAAAUUGAACCAAACUUGGCCACAAUCAUCAUUGGGGUAUCUAGGUUAUAAAAUGUGUCCGGUGAUCCGGCCAACCAACCAAAAUGGCCGCCAUGGCUAAAAAUAGAACAUAGGGGUAAAAUGCAGUUUUUGGCUUAUAACUCAAAAACCAAAG